UGGGNNANNNUGNNNAAUGGGGGGAACCCUGACGCAGCCAUGCCGCGUGAAUGAAGAAGGCCUUAGGGUUGUAAAGUUCUUUCGGUAUUGAGGAAGGUUGAUGUGUUAAUAGCACAUCAAAUUGACGUUAAAUACAGAAGAAGCACCGGCUAACUCCGUGCCAGCAGCCGCGGUAAUACGGAGGGUGCGAGCGUUAAUCGGAAUAACUGGGCGUAAAGGGCACGCAGGCGGUUAUUUAAGUGAGGUGUGAAAGCCCUGGGCUUAACCUGGGAAUUGCAUUUCAGACUGGGUAACUAGAGUACUUUAGGGAGGGGCAGAAUUCCACGUGUAGCGGUGAAAUGCGUAGAGAUGUGGAGGAAUACCGAAGGCGAAGGCAGCCCCUUGGGAAUGUACUGACGCUCAUGUGCGAAAGCGUGGGGAGCAAACAGGAUUAGAUACCCUGGUAGUCCAUGCUGUAAACGCUGUCGAUUUGGGGGUUGGGGUUUAACUCUGGCGCCCGUAGCUAACGUGAUAAAUCGACCGCNNNNNGGAGUACGGCCGCAAGGUUA
RNAcentral lists this ribosomal RNA (548 nucleotides) under uncultured bacterium. Its description in RNAcentral is "partial 16S rRNA". It matches the Rfam family "Bacterial small subunit ribosomal RNA", at positions 355 to 896 of the family's 1533-position model. The record is from RNAcentral.